Molecule: ribosomal RNA, 251 nt
Filed under: uncultured bacterium
Lineage: Bacteria
Description: partial 16S ribosomal RNA
Rfam family: Bacterial small subunit ribosomal RNA
Source: RNAcentral
CUUUUGCUGGCGACCGGCGCACGGGUGAGUAACACGUAUCCAACCUGCCCUUUACUCGGGGAUAGCCUUUCGAAAGAAAGAUUAAUACCCGAUAGCAUAAUGAUUCCGCAUGGUUUCAUUAUUAAAGGAUUCCGGUAAAGGAUGGGGAUGCGUUCCAUUAGGUUGUUGGUGAGGUAACGGCUCACCAAGCCUUCGAUGGAUAGGGGUCCUGAGAGGAAGGUCCCCCACAUUGGAACUGAGACACGGUCCAA